Molecule: ribosomal RNA, 992 nt
Filed under: uncultured Corynebacterium sp.
Lineage: Bacteria; Bacillati; Actinomycetota; Actinomycetes; Mycobacteriales; Corynebacteriaceae
Description: bacterial SSU rRNA
Rfam family: Bacterial small subunit ribosomal RNA
Source: RNAcentral
GUGCCAGCAGCCGCGGUAAUACGUAGGGUGCGAGCGUUGUCCGGAAUUACUGGGCGUAAAGAGCUCGUAGGUGGUUUGUCGCGUCGUUUGUGUAAGCCCGCAGCUUAACUGCGGGACUGCAGGCGAUACGGGCAUAACUUGAGUGCUGUAGGGGAGACUGGAAUUCCUGGUGUAGCGGUGGAAUGCGCAGAUAUCAGGAGGAACACCGAUGGCGAAGGCAGGUCUCUGGGCAGUAACUGACGCUGAGGAGCGAAAGCAUGGGUAGCGAACAGGAUUAGAUACCCUGGUAGUCCAUGCCGUAAACGGUGGGCGCUAGGUGUGAGUCCCUUCCACGGGGUUCGUGCCGUAGCUAACGCAUUAAGCGCCCCGCCUGGGGAGUACGGCCGCAAGGCUAAAACUCAAAGGAAUUGACGGGGGCCCGCACAAGCGGCGGAGCAUGUGGAUUAAUUCGAUGCAACGCGAAGAACCUUACCUGGGCUUGACAUACACCAGAUCGGGCCAGAGAUGGUCUUUCCCUUUGUGGUUGGUGUACAGGUGGUGCAUGGUUGUCGUCAGCUCGUGUCGUGAGAUGUUGGGUUAAGUCCCGCAACGAGCGCAACCCUUGUCUUAUGUUGCCAGCACGUUAUGGUGGGGACUCGUGAGAGACUGCCGGGGUUAACUCGGAGGAAGGUGGGGAUGACGUCAAAUCAUCAUGCCCCUUAUGUCCAGGGCUUCACACAUGCUACAAUGGUCGGUACAACGCGUCUGCGAGCCUGUGAGGGUGAGCUAAUCGCUGUAAAGCCGGUCGUAGUUCGGAUUGGGGUCUGCAACUCGACCCCAUGAAGUCGGAGUCGCUAGUAAUCGCAGAUCAGCAACGCUGCGGUGAAUACGUUCCCGGGCCUUGUACACACCGCCCGUCACGUCAUGAAAGUUGGUAACACCCGAAGCCAGUGGCCUGUCAUGGGAGCUGUCGAAGGUGGGAUCGGCGAUUGGGACGAAGUCGUAACAAGGUA